GAUGAACUCAUCCAGUUCGAA
Molecule: unclassified non-coding RNA, 21 nt
Filed under: Dictyostelium discoideum
Lineage: Eukaryota; Evosea; Eumycetozoa; Dictyosteliales; Dictyosteliaceae
Source: RNAcentral